UACGUAGGGUGCAGGCGUUAAUCGGAAUUACUGGGCGUAAAGCGUGCGCAGGCGGUUUCUUAAGUCAGAUGUGAAAGCCCCGGGCUUAACCUGGGAACUGCGUUUGAAACUGGGAGACUUGAGUGUGGCAGAGGGGGGUGGAAUUCCACGUGUAGCAGUGAAAUGCGUAGAUAUGUGGAGGAACACCGGUGGCGAAGGCGGCCCACUGGUCCGGUACUGACGCUGAGGUGCGAAAGCGUGGGGAGCAAACAGG
This 253-nucleotide ribosomal RNA is filed under the name uncultured bacterium. RNAcentral's name for it is "partial 16S ribosomal RNA". It matches the Rfam family "Bacterial small subunit ribosomal RNA", at positions 524 to 776 of the family's 1533-position model. The record is from RNAcentral.